This 531-nucleotide ribosomal RNA is filed under the name Lactobacillus amylovorus. RNAcentral's name for it is "bacterial SSU rRNA". It matches the Rfam family "Bacterial small subunit ribosomal RNA", at positions 17 to 515 of the family's 1533-position model. Lineage: Bacteria; Bacillati; Bacillota; Bacilli; Lactobacillales; Lactobacillaceae. The record is from RNAcentral.
UCCUGGCUCAGGACGAACGCUGGCGGCGUGCCUAAUACAUGCAAGUCGAGCGAGCGGAACCAACAGAUUUACUUCGGUAAUGACGUUGGGAAAGCGAGCGGCGGAUGGGUGAGUAACACGUGGGGAACCUGCCCCUAAGUCUGGGAUACCAUUUGGAAACAGGUGCUAAUACCGGAUAAUAAAGCGGAUCGCAUGAUCAGCUUUUGAAAGGCGGCGUAAGCUGUCGCUAAGGGAUGGCCCCGCGGUGCAUUAGCUAGUUGGUAAGGUAACGGCUUACCAAGGCGACGAUGCAUAGCCGAGUUGAGAGACUGAUCGGCCACAUUGGGACUGAGACACGGCCCAAACUCCUACGGGAGGCAGCAGUAGGGAAUCUUCCACAAUGGACGCAAGUCUGAUGGAGCAACGCCGCGUGAGUGAAGAAGGUUUUCGGAUCGUAAAGCUCUGUUGUUGGUGAAGAAGGAUAGAGGUAGUAACUGGCCUUUAUUUGACGGUAAUCAACCAGAAAGUCACGGCUAACUACGUGCCAGCAGC